This is a non-coding RNA of Podarcis lilfordi (Lilford's wall lizard), 72 nucleotides long. NCBI's taxonomy places the organism in Eukaryota, Metazoa, Chordata, Lepidosauria, Squamata, Lacertidae. The record is from the annotation of a GenBank genome assembly.
GGCCGUAGCUCAGUGGUUAGAGCACCUGCUUUGCAUGCAGAGGGUCCCAGGUCCAAUCUCCAGGUAGAGUUG